RNAcentral lists this transfer RNA (82 nucleotides) under Lentisphaera araneosa HTCC2155. It matches the Rfam family "tRNA". From Rfam's summary of the family: Transfer RNA (tRNA) molecules are approximately 80 nucleotides in length. Their secondary structure includes four short double-helical elements and three loops (D, anti-codon, and T loops). Further hydrogen bonds mediate the characteristic L-shaped molecular structure. tRNAs have two regions of fundamental functional importance: the anti-codon, which is responsible for specific mRNA codon recognition, and the 3' end, to which the tRNAs corresponding amino acid is attached (by aminoacyl-tRNA synthetases). tRNAs cope with the degeneracy of the genetic code in two manners: having more than one tRNA (with a specific anti-codon) for a particular amino acid; and 'wobble' base-pairing, i.e. permitting non-standard base-pairing at the 3rd anti-codon position. Lineage: Bacteria; Pseudomonadati; Lentisphaerota; Lentisphaeria; Lentisphaerales; Lentisphaeraceae. The record is from Rfam by way of RNAcentral.
GCCGAAGUGGCGGAAUUGGCAGACGCAGGGGAUUCAAAAUCCCCCGGCUUCGGUCGUGUGGGUUCAAGUCCCACCUUCGGUA